GUGGAAUUAUUUUGUUCUUUUUGAAUGGCUGAGUACUAUUCCAUAGUAACAUAUAUGUACCACAUCUUCUUUAUCCAUUCAUCUGUUGAUGGACAUUUGGUGGUUUCCAUGUCUUGGCUAUCUUGAGCAGUGCUAACAUAGGGGUGCAUUAUCUUUUUGAAUUAUAGUUUUGUCUGGGGAGAUAGAGUACUCUUAUUACCCAGUCUAGGUCACUGCUCAGGUCUUGGGACAAGGCAGCAUCAUACUGACAGCCCAUUGGGAUGGGACCACAAGCUAUAGGAAUGGGAAGAAAGGAAGGAUUGCUGGACAGACAAUAGGUGUACUUGAAGCUAUUCUUGAGAUUUAAAAAAAAAAAAAAGUCUUCACAUUUAACACUGCACCUAAAGUUUUGAAACUGAAAUUAAACAUGAAUUAUGGACAGAGUUUUUCAAAUUAUCUAGAAAUGCUAUGUCCUAAAAUUAGAAGAGAUGAAAUAAUCAGAACUGAAUAAAAGUUGAGUCAGGUAGGGUGCUUUUUUCCAUCUAACUCAUGUUUUUCCUAUAAACUCGUUACUCAAAGAGCUAUGCAUUAGUAAACACAAAUUAUGAAAUAUAAAAUGGCCAGUACUUUGGAGGAAGAUUUAAAUAAUUGUGAAUUAGUUCUCUCUAAUGGCAGAAUCAAUGAUUCAUUUCUCUUUCCACACUUGUCUACAUGUAAUGUAACCUGUUAGAUAUUGGACAUGAAGAGAUUAUUAAACCUUACUGACAUUAGUCAUUAGACUGGGUUCCCCGGAACAGACUCGGAUGGCUGGUUACAUGCAGAAGGAUUGUAAGAGGGAGGCAGGAAGGCAGGACUAGGCAGACCCACCGCGUGACUGCCACUGAACUCUCGGCCUAUUCUAUCGGAAUUCUGAGGGGCCUUCAAAUGUCUCCCAAAUGGAGACAAGGGGGCCACGCCUUUGCACACCUAUGAUGGCCAAUGAUCGGAUGGGGGCUGAUGGGGUGGAGAGGCUGGACAUAAACUUGGUCACUCCGCUGAGGGCGAUUCCCGGAAUGGCCGCUAUGAAGCAUGCGCAGGCGAUUCCCGGAAUGGCCGCUGUGAAGCAUGCGCAGACCACACUGCCCGGAGCUGGCGGGAGCCACUGGUUCAGUCUCGCGGGACCCGGCACCAAGUGACGCUGCACAGCCUCCGUGACUGAAUGACAUUUAGUAGCUCCACACAAGGGUCAGAUAUAUUUUCAUUUUGGACUCCAGGCAGAAACAGUCUCUUUGGCCAGAGACCCUUUGAAACGUUCCUCAUAGUCGACAACAAAUGAGAACAAAGCAGUCAGGCGGAAUAAUGCUAAUUGUGCCUGGAGAAGGCAGUUACUCAAAAGAAGCAACAAGAUCUGAAACAGCGGGCGUUACACGGUCACUCUCAGGGUUAGGAAGCAAAGACCCACCUGUGUAGGACCUGGAAGAAAGAUUAAAAUAUGGUAGACAAAAUCUUGACAGAACAGCUGGACGCAAACAAGAGGUCUCGGAGACCAGAAAGAGCUCCGGCAUCCAGACUGCUUCAUGGCGUUCGCUUGUAUCUUGGUGAUGUUUCCCCAGGAGCCUCACCUGUAAUGCCGGUGACAGGGGUACAGAAGCUGCUCCAGAUGGGAUGACCAAACUGAGCUUCACUGGGUGACCUGAGAUCAAAACGAGAGGGAGCCUAUAUCUGAUGAAGAGUCACUCAUAAAUGGAUUCAAUUCCUGGUUCCGAUUCUGAUGUAUGACCUUAAAGAAAUCAACACCUCUCUACUUCAAUUUCCUCUUUGUGGAGCCAGGAUAAUGGUAGCACUAGCCUUCCAGAAAUGUUGUCAACCUUUAAAUGAGACACGUGGCCUUCAUACCUAUCAGCGAGGUGUUUGUGAGACGCGUGUUCUGAGAUGAUCUGUGUACACUGCUCAGCACAAAGGCUGCUCAGAGCAAGCCAGUGAUUGUGAAAAAGGUAGUUGUGAUAGCAUCACAACAGAAGCUAAUUCUUCAGGCCUUCUAUGCUAUAAUGCUUUCCAAGACUUAACUGUUUCAGUAAAAGUAGUAAAUUAGUUUUGUUUAUUUAUUUUAGUAAAUUAGUUUUAAUAAAAAAUUUAAUUUUGUGUAUUGCCCAGAAAGAAGGAAGAAUGCAAUGAUAAGAAUGGAAAACCUACAUUGGUUAUUAAAAUGGUUAUUUAUUACCAGUAUCGUUGAACUAUCUGCUUUGCUUAUCUAAUUCUGUGUAACA
Cervus elaphus (red deer) is the source of this 2225-nucleotide long non-coding RNA. RefSeq lists it as uncharacterized. The record is from RefSeq and is a predicted model, not a curated record. The transcript has 3 exons. NCBI's taxonomy places the organism in Eukaryota, Metazoa, Chordata, Mammalia, Artiodactyla, Cervidae.